Molecule: long non-coding RNA, 2244 nt
Organism: Phasianus colchicus (ring-necked pheasant)
Lineage: Eukaryota; Metazoa; Chordata; Aves; Galliformes; Phasianidae
Source: RefSeq, a predicted model, not a curated record
UCUCUAUAGCAAGCAUGAUUUGGAAUGGCUAGAAGAUGCUGGGAUGAUAUUCGAAAGGCAAUUUAAAAAUAAAAGCUAUUUGCAUAUUUUGUGACCUGUAUCCUGGCUCAGUAGAACUGCUAUAGAUAAAGCCAAUGUGGCCUGGGUUAUUGGCACUCAAAACUAUACCUUAACCAUUAGAAAGAUUCAUCAGAACUUGCAGAAUAAACCAUUUCCAUGCCUAGGAAAUUCAUGUUUUAUAGUAAAUAAUCCAUUAUUGGAGUUCAAAAUUAAGUGUCAUGUGAAGAGAAUUUCUUACGUAUGCCAAUAGUAUGGGAAAUACAAAAAAGGAGAGGAGUAGUCCAUUAUGAAAUAAAUUAAAUCAUUUGACAAAAAUUAACAUUAUUGGAAUGUAUCCUUUAGAAUCUUCUCUGUGCUGUAUCAACAAAAAUAGGAUAAUAUAAACAUUUCCAAUAUUAAAGAUAUAAUUAAUAUGUAUCAAUUUAGCUAGUGUAUACAAAACAGCAAUGCUGUAAAAGAGAAAUAGAGGAGUUUUUGAGAGCAAGAGUAGCUACUCUCCCCCAUCUAACACUCAAAAUCUGGGACCAGAUCCUGUUUCCUUUAUACCAUUUUAGCUCUAUUUUUAUUUGAUCCUUUGCAGAACUAGAACAGUAAAACAAAGGCCAACUUGACUCUUGCAUGAUCUCGCAGUCACAAAACAGGCUGUUUGCUUGCCUGGAACUUAUGUUUGAGAACAACUGAUAAGUUUUGAUCCUGAAAAUAUUUUCAUAUCUUGUGAGUAGUAGCAAAUUUCCUAGGAAGGAGCAGCAAGGAACAGUGGGCUCCAAAUUUUGGCACGGUUUGUUAGACAUAGCAUCUCUGUACUUUUUUCUAAUCCCCAAGCUUGCAGUACACCCUUGUCAGCAGCCAGGCACUGCAUGGUGCAUUCAGUGCAGUACUUGGUUUGACACACCUGGUUGUGGUGUCACAAACAAGGUUACUCAGUGAUUCAGCCUAAUGGAAUUACUGGUCGCAAUUGGCAGUGAAGUUAUGCACAGCCAUUUCUCUGUAAGUGUGCAAUGAGAGGAGACUUCAAAAAUAGGUGUUUUACACUGUUGCUGUUUCGCCUUCUGCUAAGGAAAACAUAAGCUACGCAGAUACAACACCGACCACGCUGAAGAGGUGCAGCUUUAACUUUAGACACACAGUCAGGUGUGCAAUGCCUAGGCCAGAGAAGGCCAGACGAAAAUGGACACUCCUCAUAAAAAGACAGAAGACACUGUGACAGCGGGAAUGUGUCUGAGAACCAGAGAGCUCACACGAGGGAGGGAGAGCUGCAGGAAUGGCUGGCUUCAAUUGAUACCUGCCCUUUAUUACACACUAAUUAUUCCCACUGCAAGCCCUGCUGCUCUGCUGCUCAUGCUCUAACAGAGCAGCUCAGGUUUUGUCCCUGGGCCAGGUACCAGUGUGCAGGCAGUGAGAUGGUACCAGCACGUUUUAGACAACAUUAAAAGAUCUUGACUGAAAAUCUGGUGAAUUUAACGUCAACCAGUGAGAAGACACUGUUUGGGUGUGGUUACCUGCCCAUGGACACCUUGAGUUCUAGAUUAUAAUGUUAUGCAAGAUUGCCCCAGGUAUCACUUUGCCAAUACAAAGAAUAAGCUAUGUUUCUUCAUCUGGGUACCCUUCAACACCCCCACAGUGCUGCUAAUUCCAAAUUGCUCAACAACUGCAAUUGGCCCUUUAGGUGUUUCAAGAAGAUCUCAAACCACAUGCAAGUUGUAGUCUUCUCCCUGUGAUUUCUCUGUUUCUACACAGAGAUAAGAAUCAAUGAUGGGACACACAGAGCCUUUUUCCUUCCCCUUGCAAAGGGAACUUUCGGUUAAGGAAAGGGUACAGCAGCAAUCCCACAGGAGUAAGGACCUGGAGAUGCUGUGCUAACCCCAGGCCCAAGUGCAAUGGUCCCUCUCAUCUGUCCACCUGCAUGCCUCCACCCCUGUAAAACUGGUCCUCAAAAUGUGGGCAUGUGUUGCAGGUCAGAAAGAUUACAGUGUGAAAAAACCCAGCAGCUUUAUGCAGGAGAAGGAGAAUGAAUUACAGGGCUGGAGAGAGAAAGGAAACCCAGGAGAGCAGCAGUUGAUUCACACAUAAAUCAGCAGAAUCUGCUAUCACCCAGCCAGAUUACUGAGUUAUCCAUCCUGAACCUGAACUGCUUCCAAAUGCUACACUGCAGAUUCAGCUUAUCUAAUUCAGUGUGUUUCAGAG